CACUUAAUUAACUUUACCAACAUCAUCCUACUGUUACAAUACAAGGAGGGUAUGAGACUAAUUAUAUGGUAAAGUGGGUAAUUAAUUAAUAUAAACACUUAAUUAUAGUCCUAUAUUAUAAUACAUGUAAUGAACUUUAGGCAUCUCAAACUAUUAAGGCUUCUUAUGGUGUUGGGUGUAAAUGUAAUCCAAGUGAGCUUCUGCUACCAUCCUUCUCUUGAGACACUCUUCAUCUCCCUCUUCGCAUUCAUAUUCCUCUAACCCCAUGAGAGUGGAAACAUCUUCUUUUCUCUCUGUGAAUGAACCAUCAGUACUUUUCAACUCUUUUUCUUCUUGUUUUGGGGGAAGAUAGAGACGAGCAGAUGUUGAGGAUAGAAGGAGGAGAAGAAGAAGAAAG
Molecule: unclassified non-coding RNA, 397 nt
Filed under: Hevea brasiliensis (rubber tree)
Lineage: Eukaryota; Viridiplantae; Streptophyta; Magnoliopsida; Malpighiales; Euphorbiaceae
Source: RNAcentral